UACGUAGGUGGCAAGCGUUGUCCGGAAUUAUUGGGCGUAAAGAGCUCGUAGGCGGUUUGUCGCGUCUGCUGUGAAAACCUAAGGCUCAACCUUGGGCUUGCAGUGGGUACGGGCAGACUAGAGUGCGGUAGGGGUGACUGGAAUUCCUGGUGUAGCGGUGGAAUGCGCAGAUAUCAGGAGGAACACCGAUGGCGAAGGCAGGUCACUGGGCCGCAACUGACGCUGAGGAGCGAAAGCAUGGGGAGCGAACAGG
This 253-nucleotide ribosomal RNA is filed under the name uncultured bacterium. RNAcentral describes it as "partial 16S ribosomal RNA". It matches the Rfam family "Bacterial small subunit ribosomal RNA", at positions 524 to 776 of the family's 1533-position model. The record is from RNAcentral.